GAACUACUCCCUCCGUCCGGAAUUACUUGUCGUUGAAAUGGAUGUAUGCAGAACUAAAAUCCGUCCAGAUGCAUCCAUUUCUCCGACAAGUAUUUCCGGACGGAGGGAGUAGUUU
This is a non-coding RNA of Triticum aestivum (bread wheat), 115 nucleotides long. The record is from Rfam. Lineage: Eukaryota; Viridiplantae; Streptophyta; Magnoliopsida; Poales; Poaceae.